GACGAACGCUGGCGGCGUGCCUAAUACAUGCAAGUCGAACGCUUUGAUUUUCACCGGAGCUUGCUCCACCGAAAAUCAAAGAGUGGCGGACGGGUGAGUAACACGUGGGCAACCUGCCCAACAGAGGGGGAUAACACUUGGAAACAGGUGCUAAUACCGCAUAAUUUGUUUUUCCGCAUGGAAGAGUAAUAAAAGACGCUUCGGUGUCACUGUUGGAUGGGCCCGCGCUGCAUUAGUUAGUUGGUGGGGUAACGGCCUACCAAGACCAUGAUGCAUAGCCGACCUGAGAGGGUGAUCGGCCACACUGGGACUGAGACACGGCCCAGACUCCUACGGGAGGCAGCAGUAGGGAAUCUUCGGCAAUGGACGAAAGUCUGACCGAGCAACGCCGCGUGAGUGAAGAAGGUUUUCGGAUCGUAAAACUCUGUUGUUAGAGAAGAACAAGUGAGAGAGUUACUGUUCUCACCUUGACGGUAUCUAACCAGAAAGCCACGGCUAACUACGUGCCAGCAGCCGCGGUAAUACGUAGGUGGCAAGCGUUGUCCGGAUUUAUUGGGCGUAAAGCGAGCGCAGGCGGUUUCUUAAGUCUGAUGUGAAAGCCCUCGGCUCAACCGAGGAAGGUCAUUGGAAACUGGGGAACUUGAGUGCAGAAGAGGAGAGUGGAAUUCCAUGUGUAGCGGUGAAAUGCGUAGAUAUAUGGAGGAACACCAGUGGCGAAGGCGACUCUCUGGUCUGUAACUGACGCUGAGGCUCGAAAGCGUGGGGAGCAAACAGG
This 775-nucleotide ribosomal RNA is filed under the name uncultured bacterium. RNAcentral describes it as "bacterial SSU rRNA". It matches the Rfam family "Bacterial small subunit ribosomal RNA", at positions 28 to 776 of the family's 1533-position model. The record is from RNAcentral.